This 821-nucleotide ribosomal RNA is filed under the name uncultured bacterium. Its description in RNAcentral is "bacterial SSU rRNA". It matches the Rfam family "Bacterial small subunit ribosomal RNA", at positions 60 to 890 of the family's 1533-position model. The record is from RNAcentral.
AGUCGACGGUGACCUCGGAGCUUGCUCCGGGCGAUCAGUGGCGAACGGGUGAGUAACACGUGAGUAACCUGCCCCAGACUCUGGGAUAACAUCGGGAAACCGGUGCUAAUACCGGAUAUGAGACGAGACCGCAUGGUCAUCGUCUGGAAAGAUUUAUCGGUCUGGGAUGGACUCGCGGCCUAUCAGCUAGUUGGUGAGGUAAUGGCCCACCAAGGCGACGACGGGUAGCCGGCCUGAGAGGGCGACCGGCCACACUGGAACUGAGACACGGUCCAGACUCCUACGGGAGGCAGCAGUGGGGAAUAUUGCACAAUGGGCGCAAGCCUGAUGCAGCAACGCCGCGUGGGGGAUGAAGGCCUUCGGGUUGUAAACCCCUUUUAGCAGGGAAGAAGCGAAAGUGACGGUACCUGCAGAAAAAGCGCCGGCUAACUACGUGCCAGCAGCCGCGGUAGUACGUAGGGCGCAAGCGUUGUCCGGAAUUAUUGGGCGUAAAGAGCUCGUAGGCGGUUUGUCGCGUCUGCUGUGAAAGUCCGAGGCUCAACCUCGGAUCUGCAGUGGGUACGGGCAGACUAGAGUGUGGUAGGGGAGACUGGAAUUCCUGGUGUAGCGGUGGAAUGCGCAGAUAUCAGGAGGAACACCAAUGGCGAAGGCAGGUCUCUGGGCCACAACUGACGCUGAGGAGCGAAAGCGUGGGUAGCAAACAGGAUUAGAUACCCUGGUAGUCCACGCCGUANACGGUGGGCACUAGAUGUNGGGCUCUUUCCAUGAGUUCCGCGUCGCAGCUAACGCAUUAAGUGCCCCGCCUGGGGAGUACGGCCGCA